This 253-nucleotide ribosomal RNA is filed under the name uncultured bacterium. RNAcentral describes it as "partial 16S ribosomal RNA". It matches the Rfam family "Bacterial small subunit ribosomal RNA", at positions 524 to 776 of the family's 1533-position model. The record is from RNAcentral.
UACGAAGGGGGCUAGCGUUGUUCGGAAUCACUGGGCGUAAAGCGCACGUAGGCGGUCUGUUAUGUCGGAUGUGAAAGCCCUUGGCUUAACUGAGGAAGUGCAUCCGAAACUGGCAGGCUAGAGUACUAAAGAGGGUCGCGGAAUUCCCGGUGUAGAGGUGAAAUUCGUAGAUAUCGGGAGGAACACCGGUGGCGAAGGCGGCGACCUGGGUAGAUACUGACGCUGAGGUGCGAAAGCGUGGGGAGCAAACAGG